Rosa rugosa (rugosa rose) is the source of this 2835-nucleotide RNA transcript. It is a transcript of the gene named disease resistance protein RGA2-like, with no coding region annotated. The transcript is spliced from 5 exons. Lineage: Eukaryota; Viridiplantae; Streptophyta; Magnoliopsida; Rosales; Rosaceae. The record is from RefSeq and is a predicted model, not a curated record.
AUGUCAGAGUUGAGUAUUGCAAGGUUGCGCUCUCUAUUUAUGAGUGAUCAAGUCCCCAAAACCAUUUUCCUAAAGUUGAGAGCUUUACAUGUCUUAGAUUUAGAAGAGGCGGGUAUAGAGGAGUUGCCGAAUUCAAUUGGCAAGUUGAAGCAUUUGAGGUAUCUAAACAUUUCCAACACAAGAAUCAAGGCACUCCCAAAAUCUAUUGGCAAGCUCUAUAACCUUCAAACACUGAGAAUGCAGGGUACAUAUCUCGUAAAGUUGCCGCAGGAAAUGAAAAACUUGAUCAACUUGAGACAUGUUUAUUUUGAUGAGGAAAUUGAGAUUCCAGCUGGGAUAUUGGGGCAAUUGUCCAAUCUUAGAACAUUACGACCUUACUUCAGUGUGGGCAAGGAGAUGGGACCUGGAAUUGGAGAGUUAGGUGGCCUGAAGCAAUUGAAAGGCCAACUAAUUAUUAAGAAUCUAGAACAUGUGAAGAGUGAAGACGAAGCGAAGAAGGCAAAAUUGGAGGAGAAGAGAAAUGUAUGCGGGCUAAAAUUUAAAUGGACAAGAGACGGCAACAAUGAGGAAGGGUCGGAGAGUAGCACAAGCAGCAGCAUUAAUGAGGAACAUGUACUAGAAGGCCUCCGACCAAAUACUAAUUUGCAAAGGCUGCAGAUUAAAGGAUUCAGGGGUGCCAGAUUUCCGUCAUGGGUGAUGUGUCUCAACAACUUGAAGAAGAUUAAAUUAUCCGACUGCCCCAAUUGUGAAGGAGUUCCAGCACUGGGUCAGCUACCUAAUCUUAAACAUGUCGAGAUUAACGAGAUGGAAAACCUAAAACGUGUGGGAGCUGAUGGGCUAGACUCGUUCCCUCUUGUUGAGCAUAUGAGUAUAACGGUUUGUCCCAGCCUAGAGUCGGUUCGGAUCACACAGGGCAUUGCUUCUCUCCGUGAAUUGAUCAUAGGGGAUUGUAAUGGAUUGUCAAGCCUACUGAUUGGGCCCGAUUGCUGCACCUCUAUUCAAAAAUUGAAGAUUUGGGGCUGUCCUAAUCUAACAUCACUUCCAACCACACAGGGGGGCAUUGCAUCUCUAGAGUUGGAGAUUGCAGAGUGUGAUCGAUUAUCAAGCCUACCAAGUGGGCUCCUCCUACGCUGCACCUCUCUGAAGCUUCAAGAUUGUCCUAAUCUAACAUCAAUAUUUCCCAUCACACAGCAAAUGCCAUCAUCUCUCCGUCAACUGUCGAUUGCAAGGUGUACGGGAUUAUCAAGUCUACCACUAAGCGGGCUCCUCUCUCUUGAGCAAUUGGAUAUAUCCGGUUGCUCUUGUCUAGCACCAUCCAUUUCAGUCCCAUCAGGCGUCCUCCGCAGAUUGAUUGUUCUUAAUUGUGAGGAAUUGACAUCCAUUUCAAUGACGGCGUCAAGUCUUCUACUUUUGGAGUUGUGUAUAUGCAAUUGCAAUAAUCUACAAUCUAUUGUUCCAGCAGAUUUACAGGGCUUCCCAUGUCUCCGUGAGUUGAUAAUAGGGGAUUGUGGGAAAUUAAAAUAUCUGCCGACAGGGUUUCACUGCCUCACCCGAUUGAAGAAACUGUUUAUUGGCGGGUUCUGGGAGGAGCUCCAUUCCUUCCCUGAGUUUCAGCUUCCACCACAUUCACAACUUGAAAGGUUAACCUUGAGAGGGUGGCCUAAGCUCAAGUCUCUGCCCCAGCAAAUUCAGCACUUGACUUGUCUAAACACUUUGUGGAUAGUUGAGUUCAGCGGAGUGGAGGCUCUUCCUGAGUGGUUGGGAAAUCUCACAUCUCUUGAGAAUCUGUGUAUUCGGUCUUGUGAGAAUCUCAAGAAUCUACCUACACUCCAAGCUAUGCAACGCCUCACCAAAUUGAAGAUGCUCGAUGUUACGGGAUGUCCCCUCCUCAAGGAAAAUUGCACCAAGGACACAGGCCCUGAAUGGCCCAAGAUUGCUCAUAUCCCACAUAUCAACAUCCGGUAUUAUUGAAGCUAUGCAAUGCCCAAUGGUUUGUCACAUAUCAAGAGAAUAACGUAGGUCUGCAAUAAUUAAAGCUAUGAGAAUCCUCACUAAUCUAGCAGAACAGGAUAUUCGUCGGUCCAAGUUUCAGGGGAAACAUUGCCUUGAGGUGUGAGAAUAUUCCAUUUUUGCGGAUUACUUUCAUUCAAGUUAUGAAGUACAACAAUUCCUAAUGCACACUUUAUCGUACUCAAAAUGGAAGAACAACUGAUGAUGUGCGAUGGACACAGACCUGGUACAGGUCCAAAGAUGAAGGAAUUGGAGCACCCAGUUCAUGAUCUCUGGUGCCUACCACAGUUUUCAAAUCGGUUAAUUCGGCUCUUGGGAAAGGGUUGCAACUUUGGCCGGUUUGAGAACAAGCUUCCCUCAACAGUUUGGAUAAGCUCCACUCUGUGAAACAAAAGUCUUGUAGCAUUUGUGGCCUUGUGGAACCUUCUGUCAGAAUUCUCAUUCAUGCAAUCUCUUGGUCCUUGGCCUAUGAGAGCUCCAGUUAUCCUGAAUGGAGCGAUAAACGGGUGCCCUGGUCAAUUUGAUACUAUGGCCUUGGUUUGGAGCAACUCAAGUAUUGUUAGAAGCUUUGGAGGGAACAACAUUGCCUCCUUGUGUAAUCUGGUAUUUCACCAUUUGCCUUUGCUUUUAGGAAGUUUUUGCUCUGUACCAUGAAUUAUGUAGGGAUUAGUCUGAGUCGUCUGACAUCAAUCAGAACCAAGUGAAAACAUUCUAAAUAUGUAUGCUAAUACUGUACAAGGCUGCUAGCAGCACAUUAGAUUUAAAGGAAUCAAUGAUCAAUAUGACUAGUGCACUGGUUCUGAUCUUGAGGCUCUAGUAGAAUAA